UUAUUCAAAAGCGAGAUCAAACUCAAAGUUGAAAUCUUGAGCUUUCAAUCUGUACUGGUCCAGAACACCGGGCCCGCAUGCUUCGCUACCAACACCAUGGAUUGCAUGGUCCAACCUUAGAUAGUGUCUGCCGUAUCUUUUAACGUCACAAGCGUGGGCAGCUUCAUCAACCCCGUAUUCGUCUGAAAUCUUGAAGUUAAAUGGCUUCUCCUUUUGGAAGAUCGAUAGUUUUCCUGCACCUUCAAAUUUGAUGUUCAAAAAGUGGGUAUCUGUAUGAUUUCCAUUUUCUUGAGGAUAGUCAUAUACGAAUUCCUCUACCUUCUUAGAAUCGUAAAGACCGAAUCUUUGUGAUUCCUUCUUGUCCGGAUAUGAUUCGCCGGGCCCACGACCAAACCAUUCAAAUGAUUCAUAACUAUCUCCUAGCCAGAAUUCGUACCCAACUCUUGGGAAAUCAGGAGGCUGAUAUUCGCCAGUAAGCUUCAUAGACGUGUUCAAGUUUAUUUUGUUAGCAAAGAUCGUGUAUUUCUGAACAGUCUCAAAUCCAUAGUAAAAUACAACUGGGGAUAUACGCGAAUUAACAGUGACUACAGCUAGAGAACCAUUAGAACCUUUUUCAACACUCACUUCAUGGACGUUUUGUUUCAUUAAAUCAAUAUUGUACUUCUUCCAGUUCUUAAAGUCCCUAGGUUCGUCAUUAUUUGUUGGAGGUCUCCAGAAAGUGAUUGAAGAACCCUCAAACUUGCUGGAUAUUUCCUUACCCUUGACCUUUAGGCUUUCAAUUUUACCCAACAAUUUGUCCAAGACAAAUUGCAAUCCACUGGAUUCAACUGAGACAUAACGUUUACCGUCGUUGAUCUUGGUAGGUUUUUCUGCUGUCUCUGUAACAAAAUCUGGUACCUUUAAUGGAAGUUCGGCUUGGCCCCAGGCAAUUUCAUGACCUGCCUUUAGAACACCAGCAUCAUCCUUUAACACGGCAACAACAUAAGUGGUAUCAGAAGGAAUAGUAACAGAUUCUUCUGGCUUUAAAGCUGGAACGUCGAUUGUCUUUCCCGUGUCCUUGUCGAUAAACAAUAAGUGAUCUGUCGUAAUGAAGUCGUGCUUAUUUGUGAUUGUUACAGAUCCGUGCGCAAUUUUAAUAUGAACGGGUUCAAUAACCUUCUUAUACUCUACAAGGCCCGGAGUAGGAUUAUGCUCACUGUUACACAAACCAUCCAUGAUGAACACUCCGUCAUGAACCUCUUCCUUAAAGUCACCACCAUAAGCAUAAGCUUUAUGCAACUUACCAUCUGCAGUACUAACAUCUUCGAAUUCAAUACCGUGAUUUGCCCAUUCCCAGAUAAAGCCACCUUGGUAAAACUUCUCCUUGUAGAACAACUCUUGAUAUUCUUUCAAAGAACCCGGGCCGUUACCCAUUGCAUGACCGUACUCACACAAGAUCAAAGGCUUUUCAAACUUACCAUUUUCAUCAGUGUGGUUCUUCCUCCACCUUUCCAUAAUUUCAAAUGUUGGGUACAUGAAACUAAAGAUAUCUGCACUCAAAGCGUUCAAGUCACCCUCAUAAUGCACCAGUCUGGUAGGAUCCAAUUGCUUAAUUAGCUUGUACAUGGCUUUGUGGUUUCUGCCAUAACAAGCUUCGUUACCCAAGGACCAGAUAAUAAUCGAAGGAUGAUUGACAUCUCUUAGGACAAGUUGGGAAGCUCUGUCUAAGUACGCGACCUCGUACUCUGGAUUAUCUGAUAAGUAAUGGGCAUUAACAUCGUAGAGUUUAUUUUUGGUAUCUGGAUAUUCAGCCUCCAAGUUCGUAUGACGAUUAAAUGGCUCUUGAACACCGUGAGUUUCAAGAUCUGCCUCAUCAAUGACCCAGAAGCCUAGUUUAUCGAAGAGGUCAUACACCUUAGGAUGGUUUGGAUAAUGCGAGUUACGAACAGCAUUGAUGUUAAACUUCUUCAUUAGAAUCAAGUCUCUAACAACAAAAUCUAAUGGCACAGCUCUACCGAACCUUGGAUGGUGAUCAUGCCUGUUGACACCUCUAAAGAGAAUGUCUUUGCCAUUAACAGUAAUGUUACCGUCCUUCAACUCCACUUGUCUGAAACCAACAUGGUGCUUAAUAGAUUGAAUCACACUGCCAUCAGAUCCAAUUAAAUCCAACUGGUACUUGUACAAAGUAGGAUUUUCUGCGGUCCAAUGUUCUGGGGCCUUGACGUUGAUCUUGAAAGCUGUUUCUUCGUCCUUUUUGGUCGAAAAGGAAAUAAAUUCUUUAGUUGAAAACGUCGUGUUCCCAUUCUCCUCGUUCAACAAAGAGCUUGCAUCGUAAACUUUAGAUCCAUCUUCAGGUUCGUAAAGUGUGAAAUUGAUGUGAUCAUAAGAAGAACCCUGGACAUCAACUUUCACAGAAAGCUCUGCAUCCUGAUACUGAGAGUCCACAAAAGUUGUAGUGACCCUAACGUCUUCAAUAUGGGCCUUCUUAGGCAAUUUUAGUAAAGAAACGUCUCUGUAAAUACCAGAGAGCCACCAUUGAUCUUGGUCCUCGAUAUAAGUGGAAUCGGACCACUUGAAAACCUUCACAACCACUAAGUUUUCGCCCUCAGAAACGUACUUUUGGAUAUCAAAUUCAGCCCCGUUACGGGACCCCUUAUUGAAACCAACAUAUUGACCAUUAACAUAAAGCUCGUAACAAUUGUCCACACCCUCAAAUCUCAAUCUGUGCUCGAACGACUCAAUCGAUUUCGAAUCUAAUUCAAAAGUUCUAGCAUAAACACCAGUAGGGUUUACAGUGGGAGGAUUUGGGAUGUCGAUUGGGAUAGGGUACUGUACGUUCGUGUAAAUUGGUUUACCGUACUUCCAGUCUUCCUGAAGUUCCCAAUGAGAUGGCACAGAAAUGGUGCUCCAUUUCUUUGCCGUUUCCCAGUCUAAAUUCUUAGCAUCCGGAGCGUCAAGAGGUGCAUCAAACAACGCAAAAGCCCAAGGCCCAUUGAGAGAUUCGAAAAUAUCCUGAUCAUAGUAGUAAGCCCUAGUAGGCAAUCUAUUUUCGUGAACCUUUUUAGGGUUCCUUAAAUUCUCAGGAAUAAGGCAAGACAU
This 3078-nucleotide transfer RNA is filed under the name Kluyveromyces marxianus. RNAcentral describes it as "tRNA-Val". Lineage: Eukaryota; Fungi; Ascomycota; Saccharomycetes; Saccharomycetales; Saccharomycetaceae. The record is from RNAcentral.